Vault RNA from Naja naja (Indian cobra), 98 nucleotides. Its record names the gene Vault. It matches the Rfam family "Vault RNA". Rfam says of the family: This family of RNAs are found as part of the enigmatic vault ribonucleoprotein complex. The complex consists of a major vault protein (MVP), two minor vault proteins (VPARP and TEP1), and several small untranslated RNA molecules. Lineage: Eukaryota; Metazoa; Chordata; Lepidosauria; Squamata; Elapidae. The record is from Ensembl.
GAGCCAGCUUAGCCUAGCGGUUCCUUCACAAUUUGUUAAUUCGUGUUCAGCUCCAGUUCCUAGCAGUUCAAGUCCCGCAGGAGCUGCCUGGCUUUCAA